Molecule: ribosomal RNA, 253 nt
Filed under: uncultured bacterium
Lineage: Bacteria
Description: partial 16S ribosomal RNA
Rfam family: Bacterial small subunit ribosomal RNA
Source: RNAcentral
UACGGAGGAUGCAAGCGUUGUCCGGAUUUAUUGGGUUUAAAGGGUGCGUAGGCUGUUCUAUAAGUCAGUGGUUAAAUAUUUUUGCUUAACAAAAAAGAUGCCAUUGAUACUGUAGAGCUUGAAUACUGACUAGGUAGGCGGAAUUGGUAGUGUAGCGGUGAAAUGCUUAGAUAUUACCAGGAACACCGAUAGCGAAAGCAGCUUACUGGACAGUUAUUGACGCUGAUGCACGAAAGUGCGGGUAUCAAACAGG